CAGUAAUUAUCAAGAUGACAUCAUUUCUCAGUCUGCACCUGAAGAUGUUCUCUAGAAGCUGCUCCCAAUUUCACCUUGUGAAGAGUAAGGUCAACGUUCCACCGUGUCAGGCGUGGAGAUGGGAACAGAUCACACAGGAUUCCAAGUUCAACAGACAGAGCACCGGCACCUUUGGUCUCAUACAUCAGGGUGGGGAAGACCGAGAGAGUGCCAGAAGGUGCUGAAUACCCACGAGCUCCCUGCCCCUCCCCUAAACCCAGCAACCCUACCCCCUCCAAGUACCUCUGGCUCCAUUGUUCUCUGUAGGAAGCACUGAAGGAAAUGCCUGUAAAAAGCUCAGACUUGUUGAAACUCACAUGAAACUGAUCCCAGAAUGGGCCAAAGGGGUUUCCUUCCUGCAGAAAGAGAGUGGUGGAAAGCUUACUGAGGGGGAUGGAAAGCCAUUUGGGGAUGGGGCCAGUAGGUGGGAAAACCUGGGUGAUUUGACUCAGGCCAAAACACUCUCACAGGAUGGCCUAGGAGGAAUGUCACUCUGUAAUUCCUGGGCCAGGGACUGAGGAGAUGCCUCAGCUUUAAUUCUGGUUUCCAGCAGGAAAGUCUUUCCUGUUCAUAUGUCACACCUUGCUGACCCGGCAGCACUGAUGACGGUCUGGGGAGAAGCAGACCUGAACCAAGGACUAGAGCUUCAAGAGACAUUCAAGAUUGGCUAAUCCAAUGCCUUCAUUUUCAAGAUGGAAACCAAGGCCCACUGAGGGUCAGACACUUACCCAAGGUUACAAGCAAGUAAGGGCACUACUGGGGCUGUGAGCUAGGUCUCCUUUCUCAAAUUUCAUGGUUCUUCCAACCACUUUCCUAAGACUUUAGAACAUACACCGAAAGACAUAUUUGGGGGUUGCCUUAUUUCCAAAGUGCCAGAAAUGCACAAAUUUCUUCUAAUAAGA
Macaca mulatta (Rhesus monkey) is the source of this 941-nucleotide non-coding RNA. The record is from RefSeq and is a predicted model, not a curated record. NCBI's taxonomy places the organism in Eukaryota, Metazoa, Chordata, Mammalia, Primates, Cercopithecidae.